GCCCAGCUACUCAGGAGGCUAGGGCAGGAGGACAGCAUGAGCCCAGGACCUCUGGGCCGCAGAGCGCUAGGAGGUGCGGAUCGGGUCUACACCAUGUUGGGCGUCAGCACCGUGACCUCUCGGAAGCAGGGACCACCAGGUUGCCUAAGGACUGGUGAACCCACUCAGGUUGGAAACAGAGCAGGUAAAAACUCCGAUGCUGAUCAGUAGCCAGAUCUUACCUCUAAAUAGCUACUAUACUCCAGCCUGGGCAACAGAGCAAGACUCUGUCUCU
RNAcentral lists this signal recognition particle RNA (274 nucleotides) under Microcebus murinus (gray mouse lemur). RNAcentral's name for it is "Metazoan signal recognition particle RNA (ENSMICG00000034689.2)". It matches the Rfam family "Metazoan signal recognition particle RNA". Rfam says of the family: The signal recognition particle (SRP) is a universally conserved ribonucleoprotein. It is involved in the co-translational targeting of proteins to membranes. Lineage: Eukaryota; Metazoa; Chordata; Mammalia; Primates; Cheirogaleidae. The record is from RNAcentral.